Molecule: long non-coding RNA, 1659 nt
Organism: Anolis carolinensis (green anole)
Lineage: Eukaryota; Metazoa; Chordata; Lepidosauria; Squamata; Anolidae
Exons: 3
Source: RefSeq, a predicted model, not a curated record
UCUGUUAGGCUAGGGAAGCAGAAGGAAGGGAGCAGAGGGAAGGAAGGGAAGGGGGAAAAGCCACCCACGGGGGCAGGGGAACGGGGAUGCCUGGCUUCAACAUCUUCUCCCUCUAGCUCCCUCUCUUCUCCCGCUUGCUAGAGAGCAAUUGAGGGGGAAUAGAAGGGGCAAGCCUCAGAAGAUUUGGAAACGAAGCAUAGCAAUAAAAAGGAUCCAAAGCCAUGAUUUACCCGGACCAGGUUAAGGUUUUCUCUGAUGGACUUGGUCAUGGCGACAGAAAGCCCGAGCCCUUUGGCUUCCUGGGACCUCUUUGCUGCUGUUGUAUAGAAGGCUAACAUCUGGCCAGACUAUUGUCUACUUGUUGGCUAAACCAAGGAAAAUCCUACGGAAGAGUGGAUUUCAACAAACAAGGGCGUUCUGAAUAAAUCCCCAGCUUCAAACAGCAACAAUUAAAGCCGAUCCGAGGUCGGACAUUCCCGUGGUGGCUGUUUGCUGAGACCUGGCCGCCAAAGUGGCAGGAGUCCUGCCCGCCCAUUACUUGAAGAAGGCUUCCACUCACAGGCUACGGGCCCUAAAUCCAGGAAUUAAAGGAUGGAGGGGGUUAUUUAAACAAUUGGACAAGAGGCUGAGAAGGAGAGGUGCGUGUACACAGCCUAAGUGCUUGUACUUCAGCACAAGUGCCCUCUAGGAGCGGGAAGUGUUUACCUGUUUACUUUUACAGGUAGCUCAAACACGAGGCAGGCGCCUCUUCACAGAUUUGUGCAGGUGUCUUAACCCGAAAAGAACUGGGCAUCCAAAAUGCGGAUAGAGAGAGACACUCCUAAUAUUAUUUUGUAAAAUCCACAAUGGAGGCCUUUUAAAAACAGUUUGUCCCGACGAAAGCAAAGACCCUCUCAGCCACUACACUCAUGCAAAUUGCUAGUGCACUUCUAGCGUGAGAGGCUAUAGCUAUGCGAGGGCUGGCUGAAGGCUGCAGCCACCUCCCCUUUCUAAGGAACCGAAGGCAAGGCUCUUCAUCAGGAAAGUUGUGUUCUAUUCUGAAGCAAGAUGCGAAAAGUAUACCAGUUACACCCUGCAACAGUGCUGCUUGUAACAGAAGAGUCUCGAAAGGUUUUGCCCUUUGGGUCAGGCCACAAUAGCAGCAGCAACAACAUGUAUUGUCGAAGGCUUUCAUGGCCGGAAUCACUGGGUAGCUCCAGACAUGAAACUCCAAACAUGAAACUAUCAGGGCCAGCUAACACCUCCCAAGAAAGGAUUCCCCCAGGCAGGAAUCUGCCAGGCUUUUAAGCUGCAAGGUUUUUCAACGCUAAUCAAGGCUAAUCGGUUAUUUACGGGCUGUGGCAAAGCCAGAGGGCACGUGUCAGGAGUUGGAUGAAGCGACCUUAAUGAGAUUUCCGCAAAUAUACCAAAACCGCAGAACAUGAUUUGGAAAUAAUCAAGUCAAUGGAUAAGUUGUUCUUCCAACAACCCAAACCAACAAAAGGAGGUCUUGUCGUCGCCACCACAUCUAGCGCCGUCACAUAGAUAGAUUCUCUGCAACGCUCCCUCUCCGCUGCAUGCAUUAUUUUCUGCCAAAGCUAAGUCUGGCCUCCGGCUCUCCUCUCGGUUCCAGUCUAUUAUGGCUGUUUUAUUAGCAAACUAAAAGCUUCCUUCCCUCCA